UCUACCUCCUUUCAUCAGGGAGCAACAUCAGUUCACAAUGGCCAGCUUCCCUCUAUCUGGGGAACAACAUCAACUUGAUUUCACAAUGGCCAGCUUCCUUUCAUCAGGGGACCAACAUCAGUGUUAGUUCACAAUGGCCAGCUUCCUUCUAUCAGUUGAGCCACAUCAGCCUGAGUUCACGAUGGCCUACCUUCUUCCAUCAGGGAGCAGCAUCAGUGUUAGUUCACAAUGGCUAGCUUCCUUCCAUCAAGGGACCAACAUUAGCACGAUUUCACAAUGAUUCACAGCCUCCUUUCAUCAGGAGAGCAACAAUGGCCAUCCUCCUUCUCUCAGGGGAGCAACAUCAACUGGAGUUCACAAUAGCCAGCCUCCUUCCAUCAUGAGAUCAACAUCAGUGUGAGUUCACAAUGGCAAGCUUCCAUCUAGGGAACAAUAUCAGCCUGAGUUCACAAUGGUCAGCCUUUCUUCUUCCAGUAGGAAGCAUAAUCAUGAGCAUUACAAAAGCCCAGUCUCCCUCCAGGCAACAUCAUCAUAUCUGGGGUUUUUUUAAAGGAGGCAGCAUGUGGCCUUCCAGCAUGUUCUUGGAAAGUGAAGGAGAAAAAUGCCUGAAGCCUGCUAGAAAAAUUGAUGCAAAUAGUAGGAGUGUUUCUCUUGAAACUGCCAAUGAGAAGAGGACUAGAAAGAGAGAAAAAUAAACUACUGAUAAAAUA
Molecule: long non-coding RNA, 710 nt
Organism: Anolis carolinensis (green anole)
Lineage: Eukaryota; Metazoa; Chordata; Lepidosauria; Squamata; Anolidae
Exons: 2
Source: RefSeq, a predicted model, not a curated record